This 1393-nucleotide ribosomal RNA is filed under the name uncultured bacterium. RNAcentral's name for it is "bacterial SSU rRNA". It matches the Rfam family "Bacterial small subunit ribosomal RNA". The record is from RNAcentral.
GAUCCUGGCUCAGAGUGAACGCUGGCGGCGUGCUUAACACAUGCAAGUCGAACGGUAACAUUCUUCGGAAUGCUGACGAGUGGCGAACGGGUGAGUAAAGUAUAGUUAAUUUGCCUCGGAGAGGGAUAGCCAUUGGAAACGAUGAUUAAUACCUCAUACUCCUUAUAUAGUAAAUAUAAGGGAAACGCUUUAGUGCCAAGAGAUAAGACUAUAUCCUAUCAGUUAGUUGGUAAUAAGAGACUACCAAGACAAUGACGGGUAGCUGGUCUGAGAGGAUGAUCAGCCACACUGACUGAGACACGGUCCAGACUCCUACGGGAGGCAGCAGUGGGGAAUAUUGCACAAUGGAAAACUCUGAUGCAGCAACGCCGCGUGGAGGAUGACGCAUUUCGGUGUGUAAACUCCUUAUAUAGGAAGAUAAUGACGGUACUAUAUGAAUAAGCACCGGCUAACUCCGUGCCAGCACGCGGUAAUACGGAGGGUGCAAGCGUUACUCGGAAUCACUGGGCGUAAAGCGCAUGCACGGGAUAAUAAGUUAGAAGUGAAAGCCUACGGCUCAACCGUAGAACUGCUUCUAAAACUUAACCUAGAGUCUGGGAGGGGAAGAUGGAAUUAGUAGUGUAGGGGUAAAAUCCGUAGAUUACUAGGAAUACCAAAAGCGAAGGCGAUCUUCUGGAACAGUACUGACGCUGAGAUGAAAGCGUGGGGAGCAAACAGGAUUAGAUACCCUGGUAGUCCACGCAGUAAACGAUGAAUUAGUCGUUGGGUCUCUAGUAGAUUCAGUGAUGCAGUUAACACAUUAAACAUUCCGCCGGGAGUACGGUCGCAAGAUUAAAACUCAAAGGAAUAGACGGGGACCCGCACAAGUGGUAGCAUGUGGUUUAAUUCGAAGAUACGCGAAGGACCUUACCUAGCCUUGACAUACUUAAAUUUUCCAGAGAUGGAGAAGUGCCUUCGGGAGCUUAAAUACAGGUGCUGCACGGCUGUUCAGCUCGUGUCGUGAGAUGUUGGGUUAAGUCCCGCAACGAGCGCAACCCUCGUCACUUUACUAACGAUUCGGUCGAGGACUCUAGUGAGACUGCCUUCGUAAGGAGGAGGAAGGUGGACGACGUCAAGUCAUCAUGGCCCUUACGGCUAGGGCAACACACGUGCUACAAUGGUGGACAAUGAGAAGCGAUACCGCGAGGUGGAGCAAAUCUAUAAACCUAAUCUCAGUUCGUUGUAGUCUGCAACUCGACUACAUGAAGCUGGAAUCACUAGUAAUCGUAGAUCAGCUACUACGGUGAAUACGUUCCCGGGUCUUGUACUCACCGCCCGUCACACCAUGGGAGUUGAUCACCCGAAGCGGGGAAGCUAAACUGGCUACCCUCCACGGUGGAAUUAGCGACUGGGG